UUCGUCUCUCAUCUUCUUCCUUCUCUUGGUUUUAGUUUUGUGUUUCUUUCUCAGAUCUGUUUCGACGUUCUUCUCCGUUGCGAUUUUCUUCAACAGAGUUUUAUUUAUAUUUAGGCGAUCUAUCUGUUCAUAUUGGUUUUUCUUUCUUAAACUAUUUUUAUUCUGUUUUAUUCCUAAUGUUUUCUUUUGGAUCUGGUUUUUUAAUUGAUGUUUUCUGAAUCAAUUUUUUCAUCUGCAGAGGGUUUUUUUAUAGAUCUAGAACACAAAUCUCGUUAUCAACCUUUCAUCUUUAUCGCAUUCGUUGGGUUUGGAUGUUUCAAACUAUUAAACUUUUAUUUCAUUAUAUUAGUUACACUCCAGAUCUGGUUUUAAUUAGAAACCUCAAUUCUUGGUCAGAUUUACAGCGUUGUCGGUGAUUUGGAAUAUCAAGAUUUUGGAACGGGGGGUUUUGAGUUUGAUGUUUUCGAUUUAUUUUCUUAUGAAGUUUAUUUAGCUUUUACGUCAGAUCUGGUUUUAAUUGAUAAACUCGAUUCUUGGUCAGAUUUAGAGGCGUUCGUUGCUUUGGAUAUCAAAGAUUUUGGAUCAGGGGGUUUUGAGUUUCAUGAUUCUGAUUCACUUGACUUUUAUUUUCUUAUGAAGUUGCUUGUCCGGUUUUGAUUGAAAACCCCAAUUCUUGGUCAGGUUUAGGGAUGCUGUUGGUUUGCAUAUGAAGAAUUUGGAUCUUGGGGUUCACGGGUUCAUGAGUUUGAUGUUUCACAUACCCUUUUGUUGAGUUUAUCAUUUUCUAGUAUAUUACAGUCAGAUCUGGUAUUGAUUUGUAGCUUCAAUUCUUGGUCAGAUUUUGAGAUUCUUGGUUUGGUUUAGAGCGGCAAUGAUUGGAUAUUAAGAAUUGUGAUCAGAAGGGGUUCAGGAGUUUGUUUAAUCAGAUUUAUUUAAUUAUAUCAUUUAAGUUUCUAGUCUAAUAUGGUCAGAUCUGGUAUUGAUUCGAAGCUUCAAUUCUUGGUCAGAUUUAGAAGCGAGAGCAGUUGAUGAUUCGGUAGUGAGAGUUUGGAUCCUGUUUUCAGCCCGAGUCUUUGGUUAAGGAGAUGUUUAAUCAAAUUCUCUUGUUUUAUUAUAUCCUUAUGUUUUUGGUUUAUUGCGGUCAAAUCUGGUUUUGAUAGAAAGCCUCAAUUCUUGGUCAGAUUAAGAGCGCUGUUGGUGGUUCUCUCUGGUUAGGCGUGGUACACAGAAGCAGCUGCUUAUCCGGUGAAUUGGUCACAACUUUUGUAUGUGUGUUUUUGUAUUGGUUUAUGUUUGUUUUCUUUGCAGGUUUCUUUGUUUUGAUCUUUAGGUUGAGAUGAAGGAUUAUUACUGAAGAUAUGUUGUGUGAUUUGUGGUGGAGCUGAUUACUCCUUGGAUCAGCUGAUGGAGGAAAGCUGUGUGCCCUAAACUAUUUGGUGAGAUUUUAAAUGGAUCUAGGCUGUAGACAGUGUUACUGUGAUCAAUAUGUUGGUAGUGCUAGCAUUAAGGAUGUAGUAUGGUGUAGAAGAGAUCAAUACAGAUCCCUUAAUGUUAAGGGGAUGUAUUGAACACUCUUUGUCAUCUGACCUUUGCCAUGUCGGGUGCGCUUGCUUGGCAGGUCAAAAACCUUAAUAAAAAGAUCAUAUUUUUUGGUUGGGGGGAGAUCGCACGGGGAUUUUGCCCGGGAUCUUCCCCAGGUGUGUGUGUGUUGUGCCUUUCUGCCUUUUAUUCCAAUCAUCAAAUACCUACAUGCAACUGCAAUUGCACUUGGAUUGAAGAAGGUAACACUACCACACAUAAAGCACCGUAUUCAAAGCUCUAUUCUUAGAUAAUUUGGUGAUGUUCUCAGCCGGCCCCAAUUGGUCAAUUUGGAUGCAUAUCUCCAACAUGCAAGGUACACAUUUAACUUUCAGUUUCUAUAUUGACACAUGCUUUACAUAAUUUAUUAUCCUGCACUAUACACAUGAUAACACUCCAUGAACAUGAGUUUAGGCCAACCCAUAAGUAGUUCACAAUCUUUGAACCAGAUAAUAUUCACAUAGUAUUGCUGAUUCUGAUUGUAGAGGAUAUUCAUGACAAAGCUCAGGAUUUUCAGUUUAGUUAUGUUUUGGUGUUUUCAACUAGUGAAACUAUCUCAUUGUUUAUUUUUGAAAAUCAUAUUUUGAAAAGUAUGUUAAUAAUUUGAUGAUAUUUCCAUGGUAUAUUUUAUGAAAUUCGAUCGGAUACGAAACAAAAAAAUCUACAUAAUUUUGCUAGUGUUAAACCAGUUUUUGAAAAUGCCAAUACUUUUUAAUACUAUAAGCUGCACGUAUAUUUAGCUUUUCACACCUCAAAACGGAGUAUUUUAAAAAAUAUUCAUCAUCAUGUCUACUUCAAUAAAUCUAUGAUUUUUAUAGAAAGUAAAUGUUUCUUUGUUUACUUGGAU
This 2425-nucleotide long non-coding RNA is filed under the name Aquilegia coerulea. RNAcentral describes it as "long non-coding RNA (ACOE_LNC000602)". Lineage: Eukaryota; Viridiplantae; Streptophyta; Magnoliopsida; Ranunculales; Ranunculaceae. The record is from RNAcentral.